This 918-nucleotide ribosomal RNA is filed under the name uncultured bacterium. RNAcentral describes it as "bacterial SSU rRNA". It matches the Rfam family "Bacterial small subunit ribosomal RNA", at positions 33 to 932 of the family's 1533-position model. The record is from RNAcentral.
ACGCUGGCGGCGUGCCUAAUACAUGCAAGUAGAACGCUGAAGAGAGGAGCUUGCUCUUCUUGAAUGAGUUGCGAACGGGUGAGUAACGCGUAGGUAACCUGCCUUGUAGCGGGGGAUAACUAUUGGAAACGAUAGCUAAUACCGCAUAACAAUGGGUGACACAUGUCAUUUAUUUGAAAGGGGCAAUUGCUCCACUACAAGAUGGACCUGCGUUGUAUUAGCUAGUAGGUGAGGUAACGGCUCACCUAGGCGACGAUACAUAGCCGACCUGAGAGGGUGAUCGGCCACGCUGGGACUGAGACGCGGCCCAGACUCCUACGGGAGGCAGCAGUAGGGAAUCUUCGGCAAUGGGGGCAACCCUGACCGAGCAACGCCGCGUGAGUGAAGAAGGUUUUCGGAUCGUAAAGCUCUGUUGUAAGUCAAGAACGAGUGUGAGAGUGGAAAGUUCACACUGUGACGGUAGCUUACCAGAAAGGGACGGCUAACUACGUGCCAGCAGCCGCGGUAAUACGUAGGUCCCGAGCGUUGUCCGGAUUUAUUGGGCGUAAAGCGAGCGCAGGCGGUUUGAUAAGUCUGAAGUUAAAGGCUGUGGCUCAACCAUAGUUCGCUUUGGAAACUGUCAAACUUGAGUGCAGAAGGGGAGAGUGGAAUUCCAUGUGUAGCGGUGAAAUGCGUAGAUAUAUGGAGGAACACCGGUGGCGAAAGCGGCUCUCUGGUCUGUAACUGACGCUGAGGCUCGAAAGCGUGGGGAGCGAACAGGAUUAGAUACCCUGGUAGUCCACGCCGUAAACGAUGAGUGCUAGGUGUUGGAUCCUUUCCGGGAUUCAGUGCCGCAGCUAACGCAUUAAGCACUCCGCCUGGGGAGUACGACCGCAAGGUUGAAACUCAAAGGAAUUGACCGGGGGCCCGCACAAGCGG